CUUGUGCUGGCUUGGACAACACAUACUAAAAGUGGAAUGAUACAGAGAAGAUUAAAGUCACCCUUGCACAAAGAUGAUACAAGUCUAUACAGUAUGCACCAAUAUUUU
Small nuclear RNA from Fukomys damarensis (Damara mole-rat), 108 nucleotides. Lineage: Eukaryota; Metazoa; Chordata; Mammalia; Rodentia; Bathyergidae. The record is from Ensembl.